GUCUCCUCCUCCACCGUCGCCUUCUCCUCCACCUCCAUACUAUUACCACUCUCCACCUCCUCCAGUAAAGUCUCCUCCUCCUGCUUAUUACUACAGCUCACCUCCUCUACUCGUGAAAUCACCUCCUCCACCAGUAUACAUUUAUGCGUCUCCGCCACCUCCAAUCCACCACUAAGUGUUUCUAAGAGCUCAGCCAUUCUCCACAAUCAAUCAAAUUUUAGUUUGAAGCACUAAAAUAUAAAAGCUAGCUUCUUGAGAAAAAGAUUCAAGCGUCAAAUGAUACAAAGCAACUAAUUUAUGGAAUAAGAUAUUCAACCUUUCAAUUGAAGGAUUGAUUCUUAUUGCACAUUGUUCUCUAGUGUAUUCACGUGGACAAGGCUAAAAUAACUUUGAUUCUUCAUAAAUAGAGUUUGUUUUUUAGUAAUUUAUUGUUGUAUUGAGGAUGCCCUCGUUUUAUUCAUUUCCAAUUAAUUAUUGCAAGCUGUUUUCUUGUAAUACCUUGGUGUACUUUGUACACAAAUCAAUAAGAAGAUCAAUUUUGUUGUA
Nicotiana tabacum (common tobacco) is the source of this 546-nucleotide non-coding RNA. The record is from RefSeq and is a predicted model, not a curated record. NCBI's taxonomy places the organism in Eukaryota, Viridiplantae, Streptophyta, Magnoliopsida, Solanales, Solanaceae.